Molecule: ribosomal RNA, 422 nt
Filed under: uncultured Asteroleplasma sp.
Lineage: Bacteria; Bacillati; Mycoplasmatota; Mollicutes; Anaeroplasmatales; Anaeroplasmataceae
Description: bacterial SSU rRNA
Rfam family: Bacterial small subunit ribosomal RNA
Source: RNAcentral
GGAGUAUUUGGCAAUGGGGGAAACCCUGACCGAGCAACGCCGCGUGUGUGAUGAAGGCCUUCGGGUCGUAAAACACUGUGAUUCUCUGGGAAACUCAUGGGGAGUGGAAAGCCUCAUGACUGACCGGACUAUUAGAAAGCAACUGCUAACUACGUGCCAGCAGCAGCGGUAAUACGUAGGUUGCAAGCGUUAUCCGGAAUUAUUGGGCGUAAAGAGUGAGCAGGCGGCUUUGCAAGCCGGGGGUCAAAGGCAGUGGCUUAACCAUUGUUCGUCCCCGGAACUGCAUGGCUAGAGUGCUGGAGAGGCAAGCGGAACUCCACAUGUAGCGGUGAAAUGCGCAGAUAUGUGGAAGAACACCAGUGGCGAAGGCGGCUUGCUAGACAGUAACUGACGCUCAGUCACGAAAGCGUGGGGAGCAAAUA